Eriocheir sinensis (Chinese mitten crab) is the source of this 3185-nucleotide long non-coding RNA. RefSeq lists it as uncharacterized. The transcript is spliced from 2 exons. The record is from RefSeq and is a predicted model, not a curated record. NCBI's taxonomy places the organism in Eukaryota, Metazoa, Arthropoda, Malacostraca, Decapoda, Varunidae.
GCCACGGUAGAGAUGUCGCGUGCCGCCCUCCCUGCGUCCCUCCCUAUUUAUUUACCUUUACCUGGCCGUGGGAAAAAGGUCACGGAGGAAAGGAAAGGGAGGGAGAGGUGUGAGGGGGUGUUACCGAUCCGAGGUUGUCGUUUGAACUGUAUGUGUGGAGUCGAUCGGAGAGGAGAGUUACGCUGUGUUGUGUUGUGAGCGGGGAUGUGGUGGAGAGUAGGAGGGGAGGAAGAGGGAGAAGGGAAGUAGAUGGGAUAAAGAGAGUAAGAAGGGUAGAUGAGAUGCUGAGAGGAAGAGUAAUAGUAGAUAAGAUAGAGAGGAAAGGAGAGACACUUUGUUUUGUUAUCGGGGAAGUGAGGAAGAAGAGGAGGGGGAGGAGAAGGGUAGUAGAUGGGAUAAAGAGGGUAAGAAGGAUAGAUGGGAGAUGAGAUGCUGGGAGGAAGGGUAACAGAAGAUAGGAUAGAGAGGAGAGUCACUUGGUUUUGUUAUCGGGGAAGUGAGGAAGAAGAGGAGGAGGAGAAGGGUAGUGGAUGGGAUAAAGAAUUUAAGAAGGGUAGAUGGGAGAUGAGAUGCUGGUAGGAAGGGUAUUAGAAGAUAGGAUAGAGAGAAGAGAGAAGAGUUACGUUGUGUUGUAAUCUGGGAGGUGGAGGAGAGGAGGAGGAGGAGGAGGAGGAGAAGGAAGGGAAGUAGAUAGGGUAAAGAGGGUAGAUGGGAAUAGGGUGAUAAAUGAAGGGUGAUAGAAGAUAGGAUAGAGAAGAAAGAAGAGGAGGAGGAAGGGAGGUAGUAGACAGAUGGAUGUAAAGAGAGGUAAAAAAGGUAGAUAAAUAGAAGUGGUUGAUGGGGAGUAGAAGAUGGGAUGAAAAGUGUAGAAGGGAAGAUGAGAUGCUGGGUCGAAGAUAAGAAACGUUGGAGGAAAAUAGAAGAUGGAAUAAGUAGGAGUAAGAAAGGAAGGGUAUAUAGAUGGGGGAUUAAAUGCUGGAAGGAAGAGAAGAAGAUAGAUGGGGGAGGUAAAGACAGGGAUGAAAGGGAAUAGGAAGAUGGGAUGCUGGGAUGAAGGUAGUAGAUGAUGGAGAUAUAGAUAGACUGAAGGAUGAGAAGAGUAGAUAGGAGUUUGGAUGCUGAGAGGGAGAGGUAGACGUUGAGAUGAAGAUGUAUACAAGAAAGGUAGAUUGGAGAUAGAUGACGUGAUAAAAAUGGAAAAGAGAGAGAGAGAGAGAGAGAGAGAGAGAGAGAGAGAGAGAGAGAGAGAGAGAGAGAGAGAGAGAGAGAGAGAGAGAGAGAGAGAGAGAGAGAGAGAGAGAUGCACAGGAAUGGGAGAUAAGAUGCUGGGGGAGGGAGGGAGAUGGAGAUGAAGAAGGAUGGGAGAUGAGAUGAGAUGCUGGGAAAUGGAAAUAAAAGAAUGAAUUAAGAAAGAUGAAAAGGGUGGAUGCAAGGGAGAGACGGGAUGCCGGAGGACAAAGAGAGAGGGAGAGAGAGAGAAAGAGAGGGUCCGUGAAAUACAAAUAAAGCAAUGAAUUAUUAAACGCACUGCAGUAAACAACUAUAUAGAACCGAGAGGGUACAGAGAGAGAAUAAGCUGCAAAGUUCGUAACCCCGACACACCCAUGCCACAGAGACUAAAAGGAAAUGAAGUAGAGAGUAAGGACAGGUAAGAUGAGAGUAAGAUCCGCCAAAAUUAACGAUUAGGCGACAGGUAUACUCUUUUCUCACCCUUCUUAACCCAUCUUCUAUUUUCUUCUCCAUCUUCGACCCAGCAUCUCAUCUCCCAUAUACUCUUUUCUCACACUUCCUUAUGCCAUCUUCUAUUUUCUUCCCCAUCUUCGACCCAGCAUCUCAUCUCCCAUAUACUCUUUUCUCACCCUCCUUAUCCCAUCUUCUAUUUUCUUCCCCAUCUUCGACCCAGCAUCUCAUCUCCCAUAUACUCUUUUCUCACCCUCCUCAUCCCAUCUUCUAUUUUCCUCCUCAUCUUCGACCCAGCAUCUCAUCUUCCCUUCUACACUAUUCAUCUCUUUUCAUCGCACCUUCUACCCUUCUCAUUUACCAUUUCUGUCUAUCUACCCUUUUCACCUCUCUUUAUAUCCAUUUGUCUAGUACCUCACUUCCUCCUCCUCUUCUUUUUUCUAGGGCUUGUAUUCUUAAGCUUAUCGGCACCUCAGUACGCUUGUUUGAAAUGCCUCUCGUAGAAUUUGCAGAGGUGUCCAUGGACUGUUUUGUGACCCUAGAGGCAUAUGAAAGUAAGAUCCCAGAAAAUGAAUGAUUAGGAGACACACAAAAAAACUAUAGGACUCUUAGCGUAUCGGCACCUCAGUACGCUUGUUUGAAAUGCCUCUCGUAGAAUUUGCAGGGGUGAUCAUGGACUGUUUUGUGACCCUAGAGACAGUUUUACCCAACCUCAACUGGAAAAUCACACAUGAAAACCCAGUAAACCUUCUCGGUAGCCUUGGAAAAUAGUCGUAUAAUGAGAGCCUGAUAUGUUUAAGAAUAUGGGCCUAUGAAUCAAGCAUGAAUGAAUAUGAAUGUGCUCGCUUUUUCUCACUCCCUUCUGACAUGUAACCCCCCUCCUCUCCCCUCUCUCCCACUCCUCCAAAUAAGGACUGAGCAAGCAAGGAAUACACAGAUAAUGAAGGAUAAAAGGAGUUAGAUAGAAAGCAGACAAUUGAAGUAUAUUAGGUUCGGAAAAUCAAUAAGCGAAUCAUGCAACAAGAAAUAUAAAAAAAGAUAAAAAAAACACUUACAUUUUAAUUUUCAUAAGAGAAACACAUAAUGAAUACACAGAUAAUGAAGGAUAAAAGGAGUAAGACAGAAAGCAGACAAUUGAAGUAUAUUAGGUUCGGAAAAUCAAUAAGCGAAUCAUGCAACAAAAAAUAUAAAAAAAGAUAAAAAAAACACUUACAUUUUAAUUUUCAUAAGAAAGAGACACAUAAUGAAUACACAGAUAAUGAAGGAUAAAAGGAGUAAGAUAGAAAGCAGGCAAUUGAAGUAUAUUAGGUUCGGAAAAUCAAUAAGCGAAUCAUGCAACAAGAAAUAUAAAAAAGAUAAAAAGACACUUACAUUUUAAUUUUCAUAAGAGAGAGACACAUAAUGAAUACACAGAUAAUGAAGGAUAAAAGGAGUAAGAUAGAAAGCAGACAAUUGAAGUAUAUUAGGUUCGGAAAAUCAAUAAGCGAAUCAUGCAACAAGAAAUA